UGGGGAAUAUUGCACAAUGGGCGCAAGCCUGAUGCAGCCAUGCCGCGUGUGUGAAGAAGGCCUUCGGGUUGUAAAGCACUUUCAGCGAGGAGGAAGGGUAGUGUGUUAAUAGCACAUUGCAUUGACGUUACUCGCAGAAGAAGCACCGGCUAACUCCGUGCCAGCAGCCGCGGUAAUACGGAGGGUGCAAGCGUUAAUCGGAAUUACUGGGCGUAAAGCGCACGCAGGCGGUUUGUUAAGUCAGAUGUGAAAUCCCCGCGCUUAACGUGGGAACUGCAUUUGAAACUGGCAAGCUAGAGUCUUGUNGAGGGGGGUAGAAUUCCAGGUGUAGCGGU
Molecule: ribosomal RNA, 335 nt
Filed under: uncultured bacterium
Lineage: Bacteria
Description: partial 16S ribosomal RNA
Rfam family: Bacterial small subunit ribosomal RNA
Source: RNAcentral